RNAcentral lists this small nucleolar RNA (160 nucleotides) under Leptosomus discolor (cuckoo roller). RNAcentral's name for it is "Small nucleolar RNA ZL1". It matches the Rfam family "Small nucleolar RNA ZL1". Rfam says of the family: Host gene TRRAP. Predicted target U2@U47. The record is from Rfam by way of RNAcentral. Lineage: Eukaryota; Metazoa; Chordata; Aves; Leptosomiformes; Leptosomidae.
GAGGAAGCAAAGUGAUGAAUAGUACUUGCAUGAGCCUAAGUGAGCGAGCUGUGUGCGUGUGCAGUUGUGUGACGUGUGCAGUUGUGUGACGGUUGUUUGGGAGAACUGUGUACCUUACAAUUGGGCGGUGAUUGCUAAACUGAUAAGAUCUGAUUGCUUC